Molecule: unclassified non-coding RNA, 537 nt
Filed under: Hevea brasiliensis (rubber tree)
Lineage: Eukaryota; Viridiplantae; Streptophyta; Magnoliopsida; Malpighiales; Euphorbiaceae
Source: RNAcentral
AAUUUUCAAAAGCGAAUAUAGUGCAGAAGCUCUGUAACUGUAAUGAUUCACAAAAAUGGAAACUCCUAAGCCUCAUGACAAUCCCAAAACAACAGAUUACAGAUACAUGGAAUAAGCAGUUACAAGUUUAAAACAUUCUAGUUGAAAUUCAUCCUAUGAAUCAACUAUUUCUUCGCAUAGGUAAUUAACAUUGAAUUUUGCUGAAUCUUGAAACCCUGAAGACCAUGCAUUGCACCUGUUGACUGCAUGUCAUCACCGUACUCUAUAAAGGCAAUCCCUGGCUUUGUUUCCACCAUCCUAACCUCCUUAAAACCUGGGUACUGCUGGAAUAACAUUUGCAGCAUCAUUGGAGUUGUCUCACUGGGAAGAUUUUGAAUAAACAGUAUAUUAUUGGGUGGAGCUGGAACCUCAGGAACCAUAGAUUUUGCACCACCUGGAUAGGGUAUUUGUGAUAACGGAGGAGUUGCACCAUAGGCACUAGCAUAACCAGAAGCAAGACCCAUCCCCACUUGAUUAGCAUCAUGCUGCUCUUUCUUC